UACGGAGGGAGCUAGCGUUGUUCGGAAUUACUGGGCGUAAAGCGUACGUAGGCGGCUUUGUAAGUAAGAGGUGAAAGCCUGGUGCUCAACUUCGGAAUGGCCUCCGAUACUGCCGUGCUUGAGGACUGGAGAGGAGUCUGGAAUUCACAGUGGAGCAGUGAAAUGCGUAGAUAUUGUGAGGAACACUAGUGGCGAAGGCGAGACUCUGGACAGUUCCUGACGCUGAGGCACGAAGGCCAGGGGAGCAAACGGG
Molecule: ribosomal RNA, 253 nt
Filed under: uncultured bacterium
Lineage: Bacteria
Description: partial 16S ribosomal RNA
Rfam family: Bacterial small subunit ribosomal RNA
Source: RNAcentral